RNAcentral lists this unclassified non-coding RNA (378 nucleotides) under plant metagenome. Its description in RNAcentral is "partial contains 5.8S ribosomal RNA, internal transcribed spacer 2, and large subunit ribosomal RNA". The stretch from base 1 to 105 matches the Rfam family "5.8S ribosomal RNA", at positions 50 to 154 of the family's 154-position model. The record is from RNAcentral.
GAAAUGCGAUAAGUAAUGUGAAUUGCAGAAUUCAGUGAAUCAUCGAAUCUUUGAACGCACCUUGCGCUCCUAGGUAGUCCUUGGAGCAUGCAUGUUUGAGUAUCAUGAAAUCUUCAAAGUAAAUCUUUUGUUAACUCAAUUGGUUUCUACUUUGGUAUUGGAGGUCUUUGCAGCUUCACACCUGCUCCUCUUUGUUCAUUAGCUGGAUCUCAGUGUUAUGCUUGGUUCCACUCGGCGUGAUAAGUUAUCUAUCGCUGAGGACACUGUAAAAGGUGGCCAAGGUAAAUGCAGAUGAACCGCUUCUAAUAGUCCAUUGACUUGGACAAUACUUUUAUGAUCUGAUCUCAAAUCAGGUAGGACUACCCGCUGAACUUAAGC